Molecule: ribosomal RNA, 216 nt
Filed under: Glomeromycotina sp.
Lineage: Eukaryota; Fungi; Glomeromycota
Description: partial small subunit ribosomal RNA
Rfam family: Eukaryotic small subunit ribosomal RNA (bases 40-216)
Source: RNAcentral
GGGUCAGUAGGUUGGUCGUGCCACCGGUACGUACUGGUCUCACUGAUUCCUCCUUCCUGAAGAACCGUAAUGCCAUUAAUUUGGUGUUGCGGGGGAACAGGACUGUUACUUUGGAAAAAUUAGAGUGUUUAAAGCAAGCUAACGCUUGAAUACAUUAGCAUGGAAUAAUGAAAUAGGACGAUCGAUCCUAUUUUGUUGGUUUCUAGGAUUGACGUA